This 263-nucleotide long non-coding RNA is filed under the name Leptinotarsa decemlineata (Colorado potato beetle). RNAcentral describes it as "uncharacterized LOC111511223, transcript variant X1". The record is from RNAcentral. Lineage: Eukaryota; Metazoa; Arthropoda; Insecta; Coleoptera; Chrysomelidae.
AGGAAAAGGCAAAGAGAAAAAGAAGAAAGUGAAAGAACCCGUUGCACCAAAGAAGGCAACCGUCACUAGGACCAGUGAUCCGAAUCUUGCUCUUGCUAGCGAUAGAAAGAUAAAGGACCAUGUCUUUGAAGAAUUGGAGAAUAAAGAUCCAGAUUUGUUCCAAAAAUCCACACCUACUGUCAUGUGAAAACAGUUGCCAUAUCGAUUGAUAUCUUUCAGAAUUGUAUCAGAAAAGAGGAAGUUAUAAAAAGAUAAUAUUAAUA